RNAcentral lists this ribosomal RNA (870 nucleotides) under Akashiwo sanguinea. Its description in RNAcentral is "partial large subunit ribosomal RNA". It matches the Rfam family "Eukaryotic large subunit ribosomal RNA", at positions 23 to 910 of the family's 3401-position model. Lineage: Eukaryota; Dinophyceae; Gymnodiniales; Gymnodiniaceae. The record is from RNAcentral.
ACCCGCUGAAUUUAAGCAUAUAAGUAAGCGGAGGAAAAGAAACUAAAUAGGAUUCUCUUAGUAAUGGCGAAUGAACUGGGAUGAGCUCACCAUGGGAAUCGGGGUCUUCGACCUUGAAUUGUAGUCUUGAGACGCACCGCCAACAGAGGCGCAGGUGUAAGCCUCUUGGAAGAGAGCAUCGCGGAGGGUGAGAGUCCCGUCUGUCACCUGCAGUCCCCUGUGUACGGCAUGCGUUCUGAGAGUCACGUUCCUCGGGAUUGGAGCGCAAAUUGGGUGGUAAGUUUCACCUUAAGCUAAAUAUUGGUCCGAGACCGAUAGCAAACAAGUACCAUGAGGGAAAGGUGAAAAGGACUUUGAAAAGAGAGUUAAAAGUGCUUGAAAUUGCUGAAAGGGAAGCGAAUGGAACCAGUUCUGCUGGGCGAGAUUGUCGCAUGCCAAGGCCCUGUGCCGGCCGCAUGCGGUGCUUCUUGCCUUGUGUGUCAGCUGCGGUCCGAAGUUGGGGAAAACUCUGGGGACAUGGAUGCCAACCUCCGGGGGGGUGAAUGUGCCUGGCAAGACCCGUCCUUGGACUGUGAGCAGUGCUUCGGCAUGUUUGCGGUGCUGACGAAAUGCUUCUAUUCGACCCGUCUUGAAACACGGACCGAGGAGUCUAACAUGUGUGCGAGCUCACGGGUGUCAAACCUGCUUGCGCAAUGAAAGUGACUGCUGGGAUACUUGCACCAGCAACCGAUCUGUCAACUGAGAGAGAUUUGAGUUUGAGCAUACCUGUUAGGACCCGAAAGAUGGUGAACUAUGCUUGUGUAGGGCAAAGCCAGGGGAAACUCUGGUGGAGGCUCGUAGCGAUACUGACGUGCAAAUCGUUCGUCAAAC